RNAcentral lists this ribosomal RNA (253 nucleotides) under uncultured bacterium. RNAcentral's name for it is "partial 16S ribosomal RNA". It matches the Rfam family "Bacterial small subunit ribosomal RNA", at positions 524 to 776 of the family's 1533-position model. The record is from RNAcentral.
UACGUAGGGGGCAAGCGUUGUCCGGAAUCAUUGGGCGUAAAGCGCGCGUAGGCGGCCCGAUCAGUCCACUGUAAAAGUCCAGGGCUCAACCCUGGAAAGCCGGUGGAUACUGUCGGGCUAGAGUCCGGAAGAGGCGAGUGGAAUUCCUGGUGUAGCGGUGGAAUGCGCAGAUAUCAGGAGGAACACCGAUAGCGAAGGCAGCUCGCUGGGACGGUACUGACGCUGAGGUGCGAAAGCGUGGGGAGCGAACAGG